This is a long non-coding RNA of Branchiostoma floridae (Florida lancelet), 3399 nucleotides long. RefSeq lists it as uncharacterized. The record is from RefSeq and is a predicted model, not a curated record. Lineage: Eukaryota; Metazoa; Chordata; Leptocardii; Amphioxiformes; Branchiostomatidae. The transcript has 6 exons.
AUUGGCGAAUGGCCUGCGAUUGGUUAAAUAAGCCAGUGCUUGCCUUGCAUUGUAUCUAUUUACAAGCGUUGUGCAAUGAACUUUGACUUGCCUUUUUCUAGCCCUCCGUAAGAACCACUGACUCAUUCCUUUCGCUUGCUAUCCGUCUUAAGCAAACAAAAAGAAUGAGUCAGCGGCAACUACAGAAGAUGUUGCCUAUCCUAGGCAUAGAAACAGAGUCCUAGGCUCAUUUUCAGCUGCAGUGCCGUAAUGAACUGCUACCUCUGGUCGUGUGCUGCAAUCAAUUUCAUUAUCUCAGAUAGCCAAUCGUACAAGAGCAUUCCUUUGACCAAUAACACCGGCGGAUUUUCUAGACUAGACCAAUCGUGUAUAGACUAGCCCCUGUGGUUACCUGUCUGAAACCCCAAAGUGUCGCGUCGUUCGUCUGCCAGCCGUCUGAUGUGACAGACAUACCUCGCAACUCCCAUUACAAAAGGGCAGCACGACCGCUGUGAAUCCUUUGUACUUCAAGCCGUGUCUAACCCAAGACAACAGGAUCUUAUUGGUGCCAUCAAGACGGAUCAACUGCAGCUGCAAUGUUCAUGUUGGGACUUAUCCCGGUGAGAGGUUGUCCGAUGCCAUCUCCACGGCUAGCUGUACGGUGACGUCCAGGAGAUCGGUGCUCGUGUGAAAGCCCUGUCGGAGGACCCGAAACUAAGAUCUUAUUGGUACCAUCGAGCCCGGAUCAACCAGAGGACCUGAAACUAAGUUAAGUUGUUAUUUGUCUUAUGGGGUGUGAAAUGGAAACAUAUUGCAGAGGUGGGCUGGGACUAACUUGUCAUCGGCAUGAUAGGAAGUAUAUAAUUUGUGAGGUUACUUUAACUUUAAAAAAUCUCUUGGUUGAUGGUAAGGCGCUUGAGUGUGUUUUGUUGACAUCUCGAGUGAUGAUGCAGGUAGGGGUUUAUAUCAGGACAUUUUGUAAAUGGAAGCUCCUUUUGCACUCAGGUCUUCGGCCCGUUUCUGUGUUGUACAGGCCUGGUGUGUGGCUGAUUUGGUUUCUGUGACUGUGUCGAUGGCCGGGAUUGUAUUCGGCCAGUUACUGUAAAUUCUGUUUUUUUUUAAACAGGGACUUCCCUGAUUCACCAUCUGUUGUCAUUUCUGUUUUAUGUCGUGGUCAGUGGUUGUCGGGAACCUAGACCAUUACAUAAUCUGCCCUGUGUCGUUAUCUUGGGUCCCGAACCAAGAGAACGACACAGGACAGAAAGGAAAACAGGUGGCUGAAGAGCCUAUUUAAUAUCAAUAGCACUAGACUUCUCGGCGUCGACACAGUUACAGAAACCAAAUCAGCUAUUCAAUGGGCUUGUAUAAGGCAGAAACAGACUGAAGCCAUUACUCUCAAAAUUGUAACCAAAACAAACGGCAGCAUUACUUGGAAUUUCAGCAAAGCGCACUCUUGCGCUUUCCAUCAUUCAAGAGAUCAUGAUUAUUCCCGCUAUUUCUAUGUUAAACCAAGAACUGAAAUUACAAUCACAAAUCAAGUUAACUUCCUGUCAUGCCUCAUUCACAUAGCUAAGCUUACUUUAAGUAUUAGGUAUAGUCUUUACCAUAUUUCUUGGUGAAGUUUCAUUUUUGUCUCGUCUUUUAUACUGAGGAUCAUCGUACCGUAAGAAGAAAUGUCUGGACGCGGAAAGGGUGGCUAGGGUUGGCGAAGGAAGGUGCCGAACGUGAACGAUUCGCAGUCUUCCCACACAUAUGACAAGAAAUGUCUGAACGUGGAAAGCAAGGAACGGAGUUGGAUAAUGGACGUGUAAAGCGUCACCGUUACUGAAAGUGAUUCGUGACAACGUCCGGUGCAUCACCAAGGCACGAGUCUUUCCGAGACAUAGACAAGCAAGGCCUGCCGGGAAAAUGUGGGCAAAGGAGGUGCCAGGCAUCCGAGGAGACAGUGGUCCUGGCGGAAGCCGUCUUGGUGCCACUUCCCAUAGUUGGAUUCGUUGAAAGUCGUCUUCAUCAGUUUCUUGAGAAGACAUUUCAUAACUGGAUGUUUAGAGGACAGUCCGUAUGUCAAUCAUCUCUACAAGACCUGAUGGACAUCAGUCUUUCACGGACAUAUGACAAGAAAUGCCUGGACUUGCUAAGGGCGAAGGAGCUGGGAAUGGAGGCUUCAGGUGCUACCAUCACUGACGGUGCUUCGUGGCAACAUCCAGUUCAUCACCAAGCCAAGGAGUCAUUCAGUCUUUCCAAGGCUCCUUUUGCACGCAGGGCUUCAGCCCGUUUCUGUGUUAUACAGGCCCAAUGUGUGACUGGUUUGGUUUCUGUGGCUGUGUCGAUGGUCGGCAUUGUUUUUAGCGUAACUCUAAAUUCUGUUUUUUAGAAAACAGGAACUUUCCUGGUUCACCAUCUGGUGUCAUAUCUGUUUUAUGUCGUGGUCAGUGGUUGUCGGGGACCUAGACCAUUACAUAAUCUGCCUCGUGUCGUUAUCUUGGGUCCCGAACCAAGAAAACGACACAGGCCAGAAAUGAAGACAGGUGGUUGAAGAGCCUAUUUGAUAUUAGUAGUUUAGUCCUUUAGACACACUAUACUUUUUGGUGUCGACACAGUCACAGAAACCGAAUCAUUGCAGACAGAAUGCAAAGUGUACAUUAUGUAUAUCAAGAUGUUAGAUUCAUGUAGUUAAGCUUGCCUAUUCCCAUAUUUUUGAGUCAAGCUUCAUGUUGGUCUCGUAUUGCAAAGAGGUUUGGAGAUACUGAGCUGUGUAGACAUGCGUCUUUUGUAAGUAGUCUUUGUUUUGAAUAUAUCAUAUCAUGCCAUUCCAGUACAGGGUGACUGUCUUUUGUUGUCACUUAGCCUUUGUGUUAAAAAUGCAUUUCAAUUGUAUUAUUGUAAUUCAGUAGAUCGAUUAAUAUUGCCCGUUUAUUGAUGAGUAUAGGUUGUUUGUAGCCUUUUAAGUCAGUCAUUUGGAAAAAUCCCUAUACCUAAGGCUUAGGCUGACGCUGAUACUAACACAAAGACACAGACACGCACACACACUAACAAACUAACCCUUCCAAACACACAAUAACAUACUGAUGCAACAUCUUUUUGUCGAACACUAAUAAUCAGCUCUGCCUAAGCCUUAGACUACAAAAUAACUUUGUAUUCUUCGUCAAGUACAAAGGCGCCAAGCUACCUCUAUACCAUGUAAUGACAAUGUUACAUUUACUGAUCUGAUUUUGGCUCUGUUGGCCACCGUGUCCUAGAGUAAGGGUAAUUGUUAAUCUAUGUAUGGAAGAUGUUAAGAUUUCAGUUCAAUUUUUAAAGUUUUAUAUAGUGCUUGUGUAUUUUUCUCAAUUCAUUGUGUGUUUUCUAGAUUUGCACACAUAUGUUUGCAUAUAUCUAUUUUGUCAAUAAUUGCUAUCAAAUAAACAGUUUGAAAUCAAA